Molecule: ribosomal RNA, 633 nt
Filed under: uncultured archaeon
Lineage: Archaea
Description: bacterial SSU rRNA
Rfam family: Archaeal small subunit ribosomal RNA
Source: RNAcentral
UCGCCCUUAGGCUCAGUAACACGUGGAUAACCUGCCCUUGGGUUCGGAAUAACCCCGGGAAACUGGGGAUAAUUCCGGAUAACGCACAUAUGCUGGAAUGCUUUAUGCGUAAAAGGAUUCGUCUGCCCAAGGAUGGGUCUGCGGCCUAUCAGGUAGUAGUGGGUGUAAUGUACCUACUAGCCGACAACGGGUACGGGUUGUGAGAGCAAGAGCCCGGAGAUGGAUUCUGAGACAUGAAUCCAGGCCCUACGGGGCGCAGCAGGCGCGAAAACUUUACAAUGCGGGAAACCGUGAUAAGGGGACACCGAGUGCCAGCAUCAUAUGCUGGCUGUCCGGGUGUGUAAAAUACACCUGUCAGCAAGGGCCGGGCAAGACCGGUGCCAGCCGCCGCGGUAACACCGGCGGCCCGAGUGGUGAUCGUGAUUAUUGGGUCUAAAGGGUCCGUAGCCGGUUUGGUCAGUCCUCAGGGAAAUCUGAUAGCUCAACUAUUAGGCUUUCUGGGGAUACUGCCAGACUUGGAACCGGGAGAGGUAAGAGGUACUACAGGGGUAGGAGUGAAAUCUUGUAAUCCCUGUGGGACCACCUGUGGCGAAGGCGUCUUACCAGAACGGGUUCGACGGUGAGGGACGAAAG